This 419-nucleotide ribosomal RNA is filed under the name uncultured Eubacteriales bacterium. RNAcentral's name for it is "bacterial SSU rRNA". It matches the Rfam family "Bacterial small subunit ribosomal RNA", at positions 349 to 782 of the family's 1533-position model. Lineage: Bacteria; Bacillati; Bacillota; Clostridia; Eubacteriales. The record is from RNAcentral.
CAGCAGUGGGGAAUAUUGGGCAAUGGGCGAAAGCCUGACCCAGCGACGCCGCGUGAGGGAAGACGGUCUUCGGAUUGUAAACCUCUUUCAGCAGGGAAGAAGCAAGUGACGGUACCUGCAGAAGAAGUCACGGCUAACUACGUGCCAGCAGCCGCGGUAAUACGUAGGUGGCGAGCGUUAUCCGGAAUUACUGGGUGUAAAGUGUGUGUAGGCGGGGAGGCAAGUCAGAUGUGAAAACCAAAGGCUCAACCUUUGGCUUGCAUUUGAAACUGUCUUUCUUGAGAGUGGGAGAGGUAAACGGAAUUCCUAGUGUAGUAGUGAAAUGCGUAGAUAUUAGGAGGAACACCGGUGGCGAAGGCGGUUUACUGGACCACAACUGACGCUGAGACACGAAAGCGUGGGGAGCAAACAGGAUUAGA